Molecule: unclassified non-coding RNA, 442 nt
Filed under: Salvia leucantha
Lineage: Eukaryota; Viridiplantae; Streptophyta; Magnoliopsida; Lamiales; Lamiaceae
Description: partial external transcribed spacer
Source: RNAcentral
CAGCGACGGCAUCUCCUCCACGCCUCUUCAGUUGUUGGCACGAGCGCGUGCUCGUCCGAUUCGGGUUAUCCUGUGCUGAGUACCUAUCGAGAUGGCAUUGAGUCGGCUACGAUCGCUCUUUUCCCGCCUUGCUCUGCCGCUCCACCCGGGACGGCGGUGCGAGGUGGGCCGAAUCGCGCACGUUGCGUGUCGCACCGCGUUCGCCGUCACUGGCGUUCGGGUCGACGACCCGCAGCGUUGUGCUCGAUCUCUCGGGUGCGGUGCAUGAUGUGGGUACGAGGCCGUCGGCCUCCGAUCUCCACAAACAAGCGUUCUACGCUUCGUGCGAACGACCGUCGGUUCGGUGCUCGGCCGUGCUCCCGUAGCUCGGUUCAAGCCGUGCCGGCGUCGGUGAGGAAUGCUACCUGGUUGAUCCUGCCAGUAGUCAUUGCCUUUGUCUCAA